Molecule: long non-coding RNA, 1438 nt
Organism: Biomphalaria glabrata
Lineage: Eukaryota; Metazoa; Mollusca; Gastropoda; Planorbidae
Exons: 4
Source: RefSeq, a predicted model, not a curated record
GCCGAAGUGAAAAGACUGUGCCUAAGAUUGAUGAUGUUUUAUGAACUUGUCGUGUAGAUAAAGAUAUAUGUGCCUCGUUGAGUUGCCUCACUUAAGUUAUUACAAUAUAUACAUUUUAUUUCGAAAACUGAUUGCCCGAAAUGACUUCGGGCAUAUAACUUUUCUUAAGAAAUUAUUUAACCGAGCGAGGCUAGGCCACCUGAUAUCAUGAUUAAGUUGAGUAGCUUUCGGUAUUGGAAUUUAAAAGAAAAGUAAACACUUAUUUUUCAAUUUAAAAAAAAUUCACGCGCCAUUUCGGUAGAAAUAUUGCACUCAGUAGAUGACACAUCUAUGUAACCCCAACCAUACCACAUUAGUCAUCGUAUUCUUCGCAGUUAACUGAUGUAGCACUUAGCUUUUCUUUUAACAUUUUGUACAUAUCAUAAAUAAAGGGAGGAAAUAGAGGUGUGCCUAAUGUUCACGAAUAGCACCCCUUCAGCACUCCUAUCAAUUAUUGUGAAUCAUGUGAACUGGAAAAUGUGAAAGAAAAGGGCAUUUUCUGUUUCUGAUUAAAAAUAUUUGAGACGUCGAUAUUUUAAAACAAAAUUUAAUAUUGUAUCAUAUAAAAAAAGACAUUACUUCAUAAAAACAAGAUGAUCUAGUACUACGCGUGUCCCUAGGUCAAUUUAGUCAUGCAUGUUAAUUACUUUAAUUCAUAAAAUAAGCAUUGGUCAGUAUUAUUUAUUUCAAAAGAUGCCCUUUUAGCAAAUCCCAAAGACUAUUUACACACCGAAAGAGAAAAUAUUUCUUCCAUAGGACUUGAAAGAAAGAUUAACCCUUUUACCUUUACCCUUACCUAUCCCAUAGUCUGUUGGGCCGUUCUAAAAUAUCUUAAGUGUAAAGACGCAAUUCAGAUUAGAUAAAUUAAACAGACAGUUGAAGCUAGGCUUUCAUAGAGGUAACAUCGUACGUGAUAGUGACUGAGACUAGACUGCUGCCGUUGUGAAUUAAACAGUUAUACUUCAUACGCCUGUUGGUUGUUCACUCUUUUUGUGGAGUCGACAUUACAUCUCUACAUAAGUAAGAGUGUGGAAAUUGUAAAGCUGGUACCACUUGUAAUCGAUUUGACGGAAGCUGUGCAGCUGGUUGUCAAAAAGGCUGGAUAGGAGUCAAGUGUGAUGUCAAGAUCGCUGAUGCCUGUGAGGAUACUAUGAUGUCACUAGACUGUGGACCAGGCAACAACAUUGAAAUUCUUGAAGCUAUCUACAGUUAUCCAAAUGGAAGACAAUGUGAAAAGUCCGACGUACCAAUGACUUGCGUGUCCUAUAAAAAAUCUAAAGUUGUUGAAAGAUGUCUCGGACAAUCGCAUUGUGAUUUCAUGAUAGAUACUAAUUUAUUUGAGGUCAAAUGCAAGCGACCCAUUGUGAAACUAGCCACAGUGCACUAUAAAUGUAUACCU